Molecule: ribosomal RNA, 168 nt
Filed under: Psenes maculatus (silver driftfish)
Lineage: Eukaryota; Metazoa; Chordata; Actinopteri; Scombriformes; Nomeidae
Also listed under: 1 other name
Description: partial 12S rRNA
Source: RNAcentral
CACCGCGGUUAUACGAGAGGCCCAAGUUGAUAGACACCGGCGUAAAGCGUGGUUAAGGUAUACUACAACUAAAGCCGAACACCUUCAAGGCAGUUAUACGCAUUCGAAGGCACGAAGCCCCACUACGAAAGUGGCUUUAUAAACCCUGACUCCACGAAAGCUAUGAUA